GGUCAAGUGAAGAAGCGCAUACGGUGGAUGCCUUGGCAGUCAGAGGCGAUGAAAGACGUGGUAGCCUGCGAUAAGCUUCGGGGAGUCGGCAAACAGACUUUGAUCCGGAGAUCUCUGAAUGGGGGAACCCACUCAGCAUAAGCUGAGUAUCUUGUACUGAAUACAUAGGUGCAAGAGGCGAACCAGGGGAACUGAAACAUCUAAGUACCCUGAGGAAAAGAAAUCAACCGAGAUUCCCUUAGUAGUGGCGAGCGAACGGGGACUAGCCCUUAAGUGGCUUUGAGAUUAGCGGAACGCUCUGGAAAGUGCGGCCAUAGUGGGUGAUAGCCCUGUACGCGAAAAUCUCUUAGUCAUGAAAUCGAGUAGGACGGAGCACGAGAAACUUUGUCUGAAUAUGGGGGGACCAUCCUCCAAGGCUAAAUACUACUGACUGACCGAUAGUGAACCAGUACCGUGAGGGAAAGGCGAAAAGAACCCCGGAGAGGGGAGUGAAAUAGAACCUGAAACCGUAUGCGUACAAGCAGUGGGAGCCUACUUGUUAGGUGACUGCGUACCUUUUGUAUAAUGGGUCAGCGACUUAUAUUCAGUGGCGAGCUUAACCGAAUAGGGGAGGCGUAGCGAAAGCGAGUCUUAAUAGGGCGUUUAGUCGCUGGGUAUAGACCCGAAACCGGGCGAUCUAUCCAUGGGCAGGUUGAAGGUUAGGUAACACUGACUGGAGGACCGAACCGACUACCGUUGAAAAGUUAGCGGAUGACCUGUGGAUCGGAGUGAAAGGCUAAUCAAGCUCGGAGAUAGCUGGUUCUCCUCGAAAGCUAUUUAGGUAGCGCCUCAUGUAUCACUGUAGGGGGUAGAGCACUGUUUCGGCUAGGGGGUCAUCCCGACUUACCAAACCGAUGCAAACUCCGAAUACCUACAAGUGCCGAGCAUGGGAGACACACGGCGGGUGCUAACGUCCGUCGUGAAAAGGGAAACAACCCAGACCGUCAGCUAAGGUCCCAAAGUUAUGGUUAAGUGGGAAACGAUGUGGGAAGGCUUAGACAGCUAGGAGGUUGGCUUAGAAGCAGCCACCCUUUAAAGAAAGCGUAAUAGCUCACUAGUCGAGUCGGCCUGCGCGGAAGAUGUAACGGGGCUCAAACCAUACACCGAAGCUACGGGUAUCACUUAGGUGAUGCGGUAGAGGAGCGUUCUGUAAGCCUGUGAAGGUGAGUUGAGAAGCUUGCUGGAGGUAUCAGAAGUGCGAAUGCUGACAUGAGUAACGACAAUGGGAGUGAAAAACUCCCACGCCGAAAGACCAAGGUUUCCUGCGCAACGUUAAUCGACGCAGGGUUAGUCGGUCCCUAAGGCGAGGCUGAAAAGCGUAGUCGAUGGAAAACAGGUUAAUAUUCCUGUACUUCUAGUUAUUGCGAUGGAGGGACGGAGAAGGCUAGGCCAGCUUGGCGUUGGUUGUCCAAGUUUAAGGUGGUAGGCUGAGAUCUUAGGUAAAUCCGGGAUCUUAAGGCCGAGAGCUGAUGACGAGUUGCCUUUAGGCGACGAAGUGGUUGAUGCCAUGCUUCCAAGAAAAGCUUCUAAGCUUCAGAUAACUAGGAACCGUACCCCAAACCGACACAGGUGGUUGGGUAGAGAAUACCAAGGCGCUUGAGAGAACUCGGGUGAAGGAACUAGGCAAAAUGGCACCGUAACUUCGGGAGAAGGUGCGCCGGUGAGGGUGAAGGACUUGCUCCGUAAGCCCAUGCCGGUCGAAGAUACCAGGCCGCUGCGACUGUUUAUUAAAAACACAGCACUCUGCAAACACGAAAGUGGACGUAUAGGGUGUGACGCCUGCCCGGUGCCGGAAGGUUAAUUGAUGGGGUUAGCUAACGCGAAGCUCUUGAUCGAAGCCCCGGUAAACGGCGGCCGUAACUAUAACGGUCCUAAGGUAGCGAAAUUCCUUGUCGGGUAAGUUCCGACCUGCACGAAUGGCGUAACGAUGGCGGCGCUGUCUCCACCCGAGACUCAGUGAAAUUGAAAUCGCUGUGAAGAUGCAGUGUAUCCGCGGCUAGACGGAAAGACCCCGUGAACCUUUACUAUAGCUUUGCACUGGACUUUGAAUUUGCUUGUGUAGGAUAGGUGGGAGGCUUUGAAGCGUGGACGCCAGUUCGCGUGGAGCCAUCCUUGAAAUACCACCCUGGCAACUUUGAGGUUCUAACUCAGGUCCGUUAUCCGGAUCGAGGACAGUGUAUGGUGGGUAGUUUGACUGGGGCGGUCUCCUCCUAAAGAGUAACGGAGGAGUACGAAGGUGCGCUCAGACCGGUCGGAAAUCGGUCGUAGAGUAUAAAGGCAAAAGCGCGCUUGACUGCGAGACAGACACGUCGAGCAGGUACGAAAGUAGGUCUUAGUGAUCCGGUGGUUCUGUAUGGAAGGGCCAUCGCUCAACGGAUAAAAGGUACUCCGGGGAUAACAGGCUGAUACCGCCCAAGAGUUCAUAUCGACGGCGGUGUUUGGCACCUCGAUGUCGGCUCAUCACAUCCUGGGGCUGAAGCCGGUCCCAAGGGUAUGGCUGUUCGCCAUUUAAAGUGGUACGCGAGCUGGGUUUAGAACGUCGUGAGACAGUUCGGUCCCUAUCUGCCGUGGACGUUUGAGAUUUGAGAGGGGCUGCUCCUAGUACGAGAGGACCGGAGUGGACGAACCUCUGGUGUUCCGGUUGUCACGCCAGUGGCAUUGCCGGGUAGCUAUGUUCGGAAGAGAUAACCGCUGAAAGCAUCUAAGCGGGAAACUUGCCUCAAGAUGAGAUCUCACUGGAGCCUUGAGCUCCCUGAAGGGCCGUCGAAGACUACGACGUUGAUAGGUUGGGUGUGUAAGCGCUGUGAGGCGUUGAGCUAACCAAUACUAAUUGCCCGUGAGGCUUGACCAU
RNAcentral lists this ribosomal RNA (2890 nucleotides) under Pseudomonas vranovensis. Its description in RNAcentral is "23S ribosomal RNA". It matches the Rfam family "Bacterial large subunit ribosomal RNA". Lineage: Bacteria; Pseudomonadati; Pseudomonadota; Gammaproteobacteria; Pseudomonadales; Pseudomonadaceae. RNAcentral also lists the same sequence under 2 other names. The record is from RNAcentral.